This 721-nucleotide ribosomal RNA is filed under the name uncultured bacterium. RNAcentral's name for it is "bacterial SSU rRNA". It matches the Rfam family "Bacterial small subunit ribosomal RNA", at positions 145 to 882 of the family's 1533-position model. The record is from RNAcentral.
AACAGUUGGAAACGACUGCUAAUACCGCAUAAGCCCACGGGUCGGCAUCGAGCAGAGGGAAAAGGAGCAAUCCGCUUUGAGAUGGCCUCGCGUCCGAUUAGCUAGUUGGUGAGGUAACGGCCCACCAAGGCAACGAUCGGUAGCCGGACUGAGAGGUUGAACGGCCACAUUGGGACUGAGACACGGCCCAGACUCCUACGGGAGGCAGCAGUGGGGAAUAUUGCACAAUGGGGGAAACCCUGAUGCAGCGACGCCGCGUGGAGGAAGAAGGUCUUCGGAUUGUAAACUCCUGUUGUUGGGGAAGAUAAUGACGGUACCCAACAAGGAAGUGACGGCUAACUACGUGCCAGCAGCCGCGGUAAAACGUAGGUCACAAGCGUUGUCCGGAAUUACUGGGUGUAAAGGGAGCGCAGGCGGGAAGACAAGUUGGAAGUGAAAUCUAUGGGCUCAACCCAUAAACUGCUUUCAAAACUGUUUUUCUUGAGUAGUGCAGAGGUAGGCGGAAUUCCCGGUGUAGCGGUGGAAUGCGUAGAUAUCGGGAGGAACACCAGUGGCGAAGGCGGCCUACUGGGCACCAACUGACGCUGAGGCUCGAAAGUGUGGGUAGCAAACAGGAUUAGAUACCCUGGUAGUCCACACCGUAAACGAUGAUUACUAGGUGUUGGGGGAUUGACCCCCUCAGUGCCGCAGUUAACACAAUAAGUAAUCCACCUGGGGAGUA